This 380-nucleotide ribosomal RNA is filed under the name uncultured eukaryote. Its description in RNAcentral is "SSU rRNA". It matches the Rfam family "Eukaryotic small subunit ribosomal RNA", at positions 587 to 972 of the family's 1831-position model. The record is from RNAcentral.
AGCUCCAAUAACGUAUAUUAAAGUUGUUGCGGUAAAAAAGCUCGUAGUUGGAUUUCUGUUGAGGACAACCGGUCCAUACCAUGUAUGCGCAUCUGGCUUGGCCUCGGCAUCCUCUCGAUGGACGUUUCUGCGCUUAAUUGCGUGGAGCGGACUUCGGGACUUUUACUUUGAGGAAAUUGGAGUGUUCACGGCAGGCUUUCGCCAGAACAUAUUAGCAUGGAAUAAUACUAUAGGAUCUUGGUUCUAUUUUGUUGGUUUCUAGAACUAAGGUAAUGAUUAAUAGGGACAAUUGGGGGCAUUCGUAUCAACGCGUCAGAGGUGGAAUUCUUGGAUUGCGUUGCGACGAACUACUGCGAAAGCAUUUGCCAAGGAUGUUUUCA